UCCACCCACCUUGGCCUCCCAAAGUGCUGGGAUUACAGGCGUGAGCCACCGCGCCCAGGCCUGCUUAAACUUUCAAAACAAAAAAUUAUAUAACAUUUCUUGCCUAAAUUCCUUUUUAUAACAUUGUUCACGGCUAUCACAGACAAUCUUAAUUUUCUAACUUUAUUUAAUAACUUUCCUUACUAAAGGUGCAUUCUUAUAGCUAUAACUUUCUUAAUAUUUCUUUCUCUUUUUCCUAAUCUGACUUGUCUUUCUCUCUUUGCCUCCUUGUCUCUCUCUGCCUUUGUCUUUCUUUCUCUUUUUGACUCUCUUGUCUCUCUCUUUCUCUCCCUCUCCACCAUUUCUUCCCUUGGAAAGAGAAUACUUAGAAUGGACAGUAACUUGAUCUAAGUGUAUAACUGGGGAACUAAAAACUGAUUAAUCUGUUCUGCUACCCCAUCAGGGUCAUCUAAUAAUGACUUAAGUUCUCUCUUUAGACUCCUGACCUUAGAAGCAGUCAGUUAAGGGGGCAUUCACAAAACCAACCGCAUCUCCUCUUUGGGGCUUCACAAGCCAACCACGCCUCCUACUAGAGGCUUCACAAAACUAACCAAGCUUCCCCCAUGAGGCAUCUCCUUUAGGAAAAAAAACAACUUUGAAACUGAAGCUGAUUCCUUGAAAGAAGAGGAGAAAGGAAAACUUUGAAUAUCUCUUUUGCAUUGCUCUGUCUCCCGGAGCCCUUUCUUCGGGGAAGCAGAUCAGCCGGCAAUGAUCAGGCCUUUGAGAUGCCAGCUCCCAAGAGCCUGGGUUACACAAGGGAGUAGGGAAUUCUGAGUUGGGUUCUGGGGCAGCUCAGGAAAGAGGAGGCGGUGCUGUGGGGAUGGUGGGAGCAGAAGCUGGAGCUGGAAACUAGGGAAGAUGGUCUAAAGGGUCCCAUUUAUAUAUGGAUUGCUCACGGGUAAAAGCUCCACCCUUUUUAAGUGAGACUACUCCUGACUUCAUUCUACUUUCUGUUUUCCUCUUCUCUUAAUGGGUAGGGGAGAACUGGCCCCUGGUGCCAACAGAGAGCUUAGUCUUUCUUCUUUUUUUUUUUUUGUGUGUGUGUGUGUGUGUGAGAGAGAGAGAAGGUUUUUGUUAACAUACAUUAUUAAGAGUUGACAGACCUAAUCCCCACCUGACCCAAAUUUUGGCCAGACAACUGCAGGCUUGAGGAUCGAUUCUUUAGUCCAAACAAACAAACAAAAAAACAGCAAUACUUUAUCAAGGUUAUGAAGACUCAACCCCUCACGCUAGGACUCUCUUGCUUAUUCCUCCAAGGCAUGCCUUGGUGGAAAAAUUGCAGGUUUGAUUUCCUACCACCACAAUAAAGCAAAUAACAAAAUAAAGUCACACAAUAUUUUUGUUUCCUACUGCAUAUAAAAGUUACAUUCACCUUAUACUGUAGUCUGUUAAGUGUGCAAUAGCAUUAUCAUAUAAAAGUUAUGUUCACUCUAUACUGUACUAAGUGUACAAUAGCAUUAUAUCUUUUAAAAAUUUUUUUGCUAAAAAUGCUAGCAAUCACCUAAGCCUUUUGCAAGUCUUGAUCUUUUUGCUGCUGGAAGGUCUUGCCUCAAUGAUGUUGGCUGCCGACUGAUCAGGGAGGUGGUUGCUGAAGGCUGGGGUAGCUGUGGUAAUUAAAAUUUAAGACAAGAAUGAAGUUUGCCACACCUGUUGACUCUUCCUUUCACAAGAUUUUUCUGUAGCAUGUGAUGCUGUUUGAUAGCAUUUUACUCACAUUAGAACUUCUUUCAGAAAUUGGAGUCAGUACUCUCAAAUUCUGCUAAUACUUUGUCAACUAAGUUUAUAUAAUAUUCUAAAUCGUUUUUGUCGUUUCAGCAAUGUUCACAGUAUCUUCACCAGGUAUAGAUGCCAUGUCAAAAAAACCAUUUUAUUUUCUCUUCCAUAAAAAGCAACUCCUCAUCUAUUCAAGUUUUAUCAUGGGGUUGCAACAAUUCCAUCACAUCUUCAGGCUCUCU
Long non-coding RNA from Sapajus apella (tufted capuchin), 1994 nucleotides. RefSeq lists it as uncharacterized. The transcript has 3 exons. Lineage: Eukaryota; Metazoa; Chordata; Mammalia; Primates; Cebidae. The record is from RefSeq and is a predicted model, not a curated record.